UCAACUACCAUGCCCAGGAAGGCGGGAGCAUGAAGUGGAGUCGACUCUUUGCAGGAUUAAUCACCGGCCCUCGUCCCCCUGAAUCCUUCAUCGUUCAUUCCCUCUUUUCUUUUUGUGCGUCAUUUCCUCAUUAAUAUCCUGGGAGAGGAAAAGCCGACAAGGCCUUUGUAAACUCUUUUUUUUUUUUUUUUGCCCCGUUCAGCUCCACGUACAUGUUUGGAUUAUUUGAUUUAAAUGUUGAGUUUGAGAAGUACAUGUGACCUCGCAGUAGAAGAGUCGUUUCAAACUCUUGUGCAUUGCGAUUCAUUGCCUUGGAGAAUGGCAUCACGUUACAGCCACAAAUUGAGUUUACAUUGUGUUCGUGCUUGAUUACAUGGGCUUGUGCACUAAAUGACGAGCCUGCAGCGUCGCACUCUUUGUGCCUCAGCGGUGCUGUAUUUUUUUUUUCUGAAAAAGAAAAUUCAAGUGAAAUGUAAAAAAAACAGCUGUAAGUGGUUGAAACACUAUCAGAAUCACUAACCUACAUUUCCAAUCUAAAUUCAGUUUGUUCCAUGAAACUCUAGCCCCUUGUAACUCAAACUGAAUUAGCAAAGCAUCUGUUUCUUGAACAAUCAGUUUUCAAAUUUGUCCUCACAUUGAUGACGUUUUUUUUAAGCGAAACUCAACUUACUUUUAUUAAAAGAGAACAAUGUCCCCAAAAUGAUGCUCAUAAAAAAAUAAAACAUAAAACAUGACAAUCAAACAGCACAUAAUAUUCAACAGUGAAAGAGUGAAAAUGUUAAAUAAAAACAAAUGAGACAC
Long non-coding RNA from Hippocampus comes (tiger tail seahorse), 801 nucleotides. RefSeq lists it as uncharacterized. NCBI's taxonomy places the organism in Eukaryota, Metazoa, Chordata, Actinopteri, Syngnathiformes, Syngnathidae. The record is from RefSeq and is a predicted model, not a curated record. The transcript is spliced from 2 exons.